Molecule: ribosomal RNA, 445 nt
Filed under: uncultured bacterium
Lineage: Bacteria
Description: bacterial SSU rRNA
Rfam family: Bacterial small subunit ribosomal RNA
Source: RNAcentral
AGCGAACGCUGGCGGCAGGCUUAACACAUGCAAGUCGAACGGGCACUUCGGUGUCAGUGGCAGACGGGUGAGUAACGCGUGGGAACAUACCUCUUGGUUCGGAACAACACAGGGAAACUUGUGCUAAUACCGGAUAAGCCCUUACGGGGAAAGAUUUAUCGCCGAGAGAUUGGCCCGCGUCUGAUUAGCUAGUUGGUGUGGUAAAAGCGCACCAAGGCGACGAUCAGUAGCUGGCUGAGAGGAUGAUCAGCCACAUUGGGACUGAGACACGGCCCAAACUCCUACGGGAGGCAGCAGUGGGAAUAUUGGACAAUGGGCGCAAGCCUGAUCCAGCCAUGCCGCGUGAGUGAUGAAGGCCCUAGGGUUGUAAAGCUCUUUUGUACGGGAAGAUAAUGACGGUACCGUAAGAAUAAGCCCCGGCUAACUUCGUGCCAGCCGCCGCCGU